This is a long non-coding RNA of Etheostoma cragini (Arkansas darter), 99 nucleotides long. RefSeq lists it as uncharacterized. The transcript has 4 exons. Lineage: Eukaryota; Metazoa; Chordata; Actinopteri; Perciformes; Percidae. The record is from RefSeq and is a predicted model, not a curated record.
GUUUGUUUUGGCCUGUGCAAUAGUAUCCCUAUGGAAUGUCUUUGUAAACAACCCGUGUAAGUCCUAAUAUUAUUUUACUUUUCUUAUUUAUGCUGUUGA